AGAGAGAUAGUUCAGUGGUUAAGAGCACUGGCCACUCUCCCAGAGGGUCUGGGUUGGAUUCCCAGCAUCCCUA
This 73-nucleotide transfer RNA is filed under the name Mus musculus (house mouse). It matches the Rfam family "tRNA". From Rfam's summary of the family: Transfer RNA (tRNA) molecules are approximately 80 nucleotides in length. Their secondary structure includes four short double-helical elements and three loops (D, anti-codon, and T loops). Further hydrogen bonds mediate the characteristic L-shaped molecular structure. tRNAs have two regions of fundamental functional importance: the anti-codon, which is responsible for specific mRNA codon recognition, and the 3' end, to which the tRNAs corresponding amino acid is attached (by aminoacyl-tRNA synthetases). tRNAs cope with the degeneracy of the genetic code in two manners: having more than one tRNA (with a specific anti-codon) for a particular amino acid; and 'wobble' base-pairing, i.e. permitting non-standard base-pairing at the 3rd anti-codon position. The record is from Rfam by way of RNAcentral. Lineage: Eukaryota; Metazoa; Chordata; Mammalia; Rodentia; Muridae.